CCUACGGGUGGCAGCAGUGGGGAAUUGUUCGCAAUGGGCGCAAGCCUGACGACGCAACGCCGCGUGGAGGAUGAAGAUUUUCGGAUCGUAAACUCCUUUCGAUCGAGACGAAUGACCCUUGGGCUAAUACCCUGAGGGAGUGACGGUACCGAGAGAAGAAGCCCCGGCUAACUCCGUGCCAGCAGCCGCGGUAAUACGGGGGGGGCAAGCGUUGUUCGGAAUUACUGGGCGUAAAGGGCUCGUAGGCGGCCAAUUAAGUCAGACGUGAAAUCCCUCGGCUCAACCGGGGAACUGCGUCUGAUACUGGAUGGCUUGAGUUCGGGAGAGGGAUGCGGAAUUCCAGGUGUAGCGGUGAAAUGCGUAGAUAUCUGGAGGAACACCGGUGGCGAAGGCGGCAUCCUGGACCGAUACUGACGCUGAGGAGCGAAAGCCAGGGGAGCAAACGGGAUUAGAUACCCUUGUAGUC
RNAcentral lists this ribosomal RNA (466 nucleotides) under uncultured bacterium. RNAcentral's name for it is "bacterial SSU rRNA". It matches the Rfam family "Bacterial small subunit ribosomal RNA", at positions 338 to 795 of the family's 1533-position model. The record is from RNAcentral.